Phoenix dactylifera (date palm) is the source of this 793-nucleotide non-coding RNA. NCBI's taxonomy places the organism in Eukaryota, Viridiplantae, Streptophyta, Magnoliopsida, Arecales, Arecaceae. The record is from RefSeq and is a predicted model, not a curated record.
GGGAAUACGAUUCCGUUUAUUAUGAGAAAGGUGGCAAAGAACCUUCAUGGAUAGGUUCGUAAUAAGGUGACUUGAAUUGUGGAUUAGGUUUGCCGGACGUGGAGCUGCAUGUCCUCACCCCUAGGCUGACCAUGUCCCAUGUUUUACGUAAUACUUGAGCCUUCAUGGUUAUGCGAGUACAUGUCAUGCCAACGAGCAACAACAUUCUAUUACGAAAAAAACAAGGACAUCUGUUUUACUGCAAAUAGACUGUAAGAGCCACAUUUUGAGCCGGGCCGGCCCGCUAACCACAGCACCGGCCCGACCCAUGUGAAGGGGAGGGAGACUCCCGAACGGGGUCUUCUCCCUCCCCUGCUUCAAUCCCUUCCCGAAUCCACCACAAGAGGGGAAAAAAAAAAAGGAAAAAAAAGGAGAAUCAAAUCUUACCUAAAUUGAACCAAUCCUCUUCUAUAAAAGACUCCUUUUCCCUCUUCCUAGGGCAUCAAUCGAGAGCUCUUUCAAAACCAAAAAAAAAAAAAGAGAAAGAGAGAGAGAGAGAUCCGUGAGAAGCUUGGAUUGUUCGCCGUCGGGCCGGCCGGAGGAGUUCGCCGGAGGUAAGAGUUGCAGGAUGCAUAGACAUGGAUGGGAUGAGCGCAAAGUGCGAGUAUGAGAGUCAUUAGUUACUUAGUCUAUCUUGAUAUCAAUGAAUAUUGAAAGUUUUUUUUUGUAAAUGAACCAAUUUGAUUAUCUGGUCAUGUUGGAUUUAUCUAUUUGAUUUAAGUGAUUAACUGUGGAAUUAUCAGAUUUUUAUUCA